CCGAGUUUACAACUCCCAAACCCCUGUGAACAUACCACUUGUUGCCUCGGCGGGAUCAGCCCGGCGCCCCGGGAAACGGACCAGGCGCCGCCAGGAGGACCCCUAAACUCACUGAUUUCUAGAUGUAUCUUCUGAGUGAAAAGCCAUAAUAAAUCA
Molecule: unclassified non-coding RNA, 156 nt
Filed under: soil metagenome
Description: partial internal transcribed spacer 1
Source: RNAcentral